This 831-nucleotide ribosomal RNA is filed under the name uncultured bacterium. RNAcentral's name for it is "bacterial SSU rRNA". It matches the Rfam family "Bacterial small subunit ribosomal RNA", at positions 67 to 883 of the family's 1533-position model. The record is from RNAcentral.
CACCUGAUUGACGAUGGAUCACCAGUGAGUGGCGGACGGGUGAGUAACACGUAGGUAACCUGCCCCGGAGCGGGGGAUAACAUUUGGAAACAGAUGCUAAUACCGCAUAACAACAAAAGCCACAUGGCUUUUGUUUGAAAGAUGGCUUUGGCUAUCACUCUGGGAUGGACCUGCGGUGCAUUAGCUAGUUGGUAAGGUAACGGCUUACCAAGGCGAUGAUGCAUAGCCGAGUUGAGAGACUGAUCGGCCACAAUGGAACUGAGACACGGUCCAUACUCCUACGGGAGGCAGCAGUAGGGAAUCUUCCACAAUGGGCGCAAGCCUGAUGGAGCAACACCGCGUGAGUGAAGAAGGGUUUCGGCUCGUAAAGCUCUGUUGUUGGAGAAGAACGUGCGUGAGAGUAACUGUUCACGCAGUGACGGUAUCCAACCAGAAGGUCACGGCUAACUACGUGCCAGCAGCCGCGGUAAUACGUAGGUGGCAAGCGUUAUCCGGAUUUAUUGGGCGUAAAGCGAGCGCAGGCGGUUGCUUAGGUCUGAUGUGAAAGCCUUCGGCUUAACCGAAGAAGUGCAUCGGAAACCGGGCGACUUGAGUGCAGAAGAGGACAGUGGAACUCCAUGUGUAGCGGUGGAAUGCGUAGAUAUAUGGAAGAACACCAGUGGCGAAGGCGGCUGUCUGGUCUGCAACUGACGCUGAGGCUCGAAAGCAUGGGUAGCGAACAGGAUUAGAUACCCUGGUAGUCCAUGCCGUAAACGAUGAGUGCUAGGUGUUGGAGGGUUUCCGCCCUUCAGUGCCGGAGCUAACGCAUUAAGCACUCCGCCUGGGGAGUAC